ACGACUCUUGGCAACGGAUAUCUAGGCUCUCGCAUCGAUGAAGAACGUAGCGAAAUGCGAUACGUGGUGUGAAUUGCAGAAUCCCGCGAACCAUCGAAUCUUCGAACGCAAGUUGCGCCCGAGGCCAUCGGGCCGAGGGUACGCCUGCCUGGGCGUCAUGCU
This 162-nucleotide ribosomal RNA is filed under the name Philodendron fragrantissimum. RNAcentral describes it as "5.8S ribosomal RNA". It matches the Rfam family "5.8S ribosomal RNA". Rfam says of the family: 5.8S ribosomal RNA (5.8S rRNA) is a component of the large subunit of the eukaryotic ribosome. It is transcribed by RNA polymerase I as part of the 45S precursor that also contains 18S and 28S rRNA. Functionally, it is thought that 5.8S rRNA may be involved in ribosome translocation. Lineage: Eukaryota; Viridiplantae; Streptophyta; Magnoliopsida; Alismatales; Araceae. The record is from RNAcentral.